AGGAUGAACGCUGGCGGUGUGCCUAAUACAUGCAAGUCGAACGAAGCCUUCGGGCUUAGUGGCGGACGGGUGAGUAACACGUUGGUACCUACCCCGAAGUGGGGAAUAACUGCCCGAAAGGGUGGCUAAUACCGCAUAAUACCGCAAGGUUAAAGCGAGUAAUCGCGCUUCGGGAGGGGCCUGCGUCCCAUUAGCUAGUUGGUAGGGUAAUGGCCUACCAAGGCGACGAUGGGUAGCUGGAUCGAGAGGUUGACCAGCCACACUGGGACUGAGAUACGGCCCAGACUCCUACGGGAGGCAGCAGUAAGGAAUCUUCCACAAUGGACGAAAGUCUGAUGGAGCAACACCGCGUGCAGGAUGACGGCCUUCGGGUUGUAAACUGCUUUUUAUAUGGGAAGAUUAUGACGGUACCAUAUGAAUAAGGACCGGCUAACUACGUGCCAGCAGCCGC
Molecule: ribosomal RNA, 451 nt
Filed under: uncultured bacterium
Lineage: Bacteria
Description: SSU rRNA
Rfam family: Bacterial small subunit ribosomal RNA
Source: RNAcentral